GCAAACUGGAGAUGGCGACCGGCGCACGGGUGAGUAACACGUAUCCAACCUGCCGAUAACUCGGGGAUAGCCUUUCGAAAGAAAGAUUAAUACCCGAUGGCAUAAUAGAACCGCAUGGUUUGAUUAUUAAAGAAUUUCGGUUAUCGAUGGGGAUGCGUUCCAUUAGGCAGUUGGUGGGGUAACGGCCUACCAAACCUUCGAUGGAUAGGGGUUCUGAGAGGAAGGUCCCCCCCAUUGGAACUGAGACACGGUCCAAACUCCUACGGGAGGCAGCAUG
RNAcentral lists this ribosomal RNA (277 nucleotides) under uncultured bacterium. RNAcentral describes it as "partial 16S ribosomal RNA". It matches the Rfam family "Bacterial small subunit ribosomal RNA", at positions 78 to 353 of the family's 1533-position model. The record is from RNAcentral.